Molecule: long non-coding RNA, 174 nt
Organism: Perognathus longimembris pacificus (Pacific pocket mouse)
Lineage: Eukaryota; Metazoa; Chordata; Mammalia; Rodentia; Heteromyidae
Exons: 3
Source: RefSeq, a predicted model, not a curated record
GCUCUCCUGAUUUUCAGGCCUCCAGACACGGGCGGACACCAAGAUGAGCUUCUACUUCUCUCACACCUGGGGACUCUCCAUCAAGAAAACCGCAGCUAAGGAAAAGGCUUUUUUAAGUGCAAAUGUCACCUGCUUCUGUUUUUUACAAACCUGAUGUAAGAAUAAAAGGUGUAA